AGCCGGGCGGAUCGCCGCUGCGCUCUUCCUGCACAGGCCCCCUGGGCCUGAUGCAGAGAAGGCGGAGAGGAAAGUCCGGGCUCCACAGGGCAAGACGCCGGGUAACACCCGGGAGGGGCGACCCUCUGACAGCGCCACAGAAAGCAGACCGCCCUGCUUGCAGGGUAAGGGUGAAACGGUGGUGUAAGAGACCACCAGACACGCCAGUAAUGACGUGUGCUCGGCAUACCACGUCUGGAGCAAGACCAAGUAGGGGAGGCGGCUCGCCCGGCCCCAUGCCUCCCGGGUCGGUUGCUUGAGGGUACGGGAGACCGUGCUCCUAGAGGAAUGGCGGUCCCGCGCCUCCUGAUCCGUCAGGCUGCGCGGACAGAACCCGGCUUACAGUCCGACUCU
Molecule: RNase P RNA, 393 nt
Filed under: uncultured Desulfovibrio sp.
Lineage: Bacteria; Pseudomonadati; Thermodesulfobacteriota; Desulfovibrionia; Desulfovibrionales; Desulfovibrionaceae
Description: Bacterial RNase P class A
Rfam family: Bacterial RNase P class A
About the family: Ribonuclease P (RNase P) is a ubiquitous endoribonuclease, found in archaea, bacteria and eukarya as well as chloroplasts and mitochondria.
Source: RNAcentral